This 484-nucleotide ribosomal RNA is filed under the name uncultured bacterium. RNAcentral's name for it is "partial 16S ribosomal RNA". It matches the Rfam family "Bacterial small subunit ribosomal RNA", at positions 30 to 507 of the family's 1533-position model. The record is from RNAcentral.
AUUGAACGCUGGCGGCAGGCCUAACACAUGCAAGUCGAGCGGAUGAAGGGAGCUUGCUCCUGGAUUCAGCGGCGGACGGGUGAGUAAUGCCUAGGAAUCUGCCUGGUAGUGGGGGAUAACGUCCGGAAACGGGCGCUAAUACCGCAUACGUCCUGAGGGAGAAAGUGGGGGAUCUUCGGACCUCACGCUAUCAGAUGAGCCUAGGUCGGAUUAGCUAGUUGGUGGGGUAAAGGCCUACCAAGGCGACGAUCCGUAACUGGUCUGAGAGGAUGAUCAGUCACACUGGAACUGUAACACGGUCCGGACUCCUACGGGAGGCAGCAGUGGGGAAUAUUGGACAAUGGGCGAAAGCCUGAUCCAGCCAUGCCGCGUGUGUGAAGAAGGUCUUCCGAUUGUAAAGCACUUUAAGUUGGGAGUAAGGGCAGUAAGUUAAUACCUUGCUGUUUUGACGUUCCCAACAGAAUAAGCACCGGCUAACUUCGUG